Molecule: ribosomal RNA, 505 nt
Filed under: uncultured Glomus
Lineage: Eukaryota; Fungi; Glomeromycota; Glomeromycetes; Glomerales; Glomeraceae
Description: SSU rRNA
Rfam family: Eukaryotic small subunit ribosomal RNA
Source: RNAcentral
AGCAGCCGCGGUAAUUCCCGCUCCAAUAGCGUAUAUUAAAGUUGUUGCAGUUAAAAAGCUCGUAGUUGAAUUUCGGGAUUAGUACGUUGGUCGUGCCUUCGGUACGUACUGGUGUUACUGAUUCCUACCUUCUGACGAACCAUCAUGUCAUUAAUUUGGUGUGGCGGGGAAUCAGGACUGUUACUUUGAAAAAAUUAGAGUGUUUAAAGCAGGCUCGCGCUUGAAUACAUUAGCAUGGAAUAAUGAAAUAGGACGUUGACCCUAUUUUGUUGGUUUCUAGGAUUGACGUAAUGAUUAAUAGGGAUAGUUGGGGGCAUUAGUAUUCAAUUGUCAGAGGUGAAAUUCUUGGAUUUAUUGAAGACUAACUACUGCGAAAGCAUUUGCCAAGGAUGUUUUCAUUAAUCAAGAACGAAAGUUAGGGGAUCGAAGACGAUCAGAUACCGUCGUAGUCUUAACCAUAAACUAUGCCGACUAGGGAUCGGAUGAUGUUAUUUCUAAUGACUCA